UUGAUUCAUCUGCGCGCUCAGGA
RNAcentral lists this microRNA (23 nucleotides) under Pristionchus pacificus. RNAcentral describes it as "ppc-miR-8269-3p". Lineage: Eukaryota; Metazoa; Nematoda; Chromadorea; Rhabditida; Neodiplogasteridae. The record is from miRBase by way of RNAcentral.